UUGUGUGGGGGGCAGGAGGGGCUUGCACUAAGACAUUAUAAGGAUGUUGGUUUUGAAUGUGAAAGAGCUGGGAGCCCCUAGAGACAGCUAGCUAGAGCCUGAUGUGUUUCAUUGGGAAACAGCUAAGGGGUGAUGAGUGAGGGGAGGCUGCUGCAGGGAUCCAGGAGCUGAUGGAUCACAGGUCUUUGAACACUUUGCAAGUGAGACCAGGAAGAGGCAGGUAUGGGCGGAAGGGCCCAGAAAACUGGAGGAGAAGGAAAUAAGGGCCCCAUGGACAGGUCCCAAGUCGGCAACCCAGAGUUAAGGGGCCCCAGGCUCUGGGAUCUCAUCAUCUAGGGCAGGGCUGGAUUUUGGAGGAGCAUGAGGGUGGGGGAAGGGGAGGAGAAGGGGCCUUGCUAGGUAAAGAGGAGGCCAAGGCCAUGUCUGUGGGGACAACCUCUCUAACAGGCUCUACCGUCUGUACAUGGUGAACUUCCCCGCAGGAAGACAUGCGAGCUAGUCAGGCACUCAAGGGAUUCCAUUAUGCGAUGCUAGAAGCCCUGGCAGGCAUACUGUCGCUCUCUGAAGGGGAGCUGGUUGGCAGAGGUGACCUCUAAGCCCUCUGCCGCCCUGACACCCUCAGAGCCCCUGACUGACCACUCCCAGCAGAGCCUGCGGAGAGGGAGAAGCCUCCCCUCCCCUUUCCUUUCGUGACCAAGAAUAAGCACCCCUCUCCCUUCACCAGUGACCACACAGCAGUGGGGGUGGUGUUAUGGUCACCAUGGCAACAGCAGGUGGCAUGUGUCAGCAGGGGGUGUGUGGGCACCAAACCUGUUCUUUUUGGUUCCUGGUGCAGCCUGUGGGGGAUCUGAGAUUUUUUGUACCCGCCCCCUCCCACCCAAGGCUCAGGGUUCUCAGAAAUCCAAACUCCCCCCCUCCCCAAUAAAGCCCCACCCCUGUCCCUGCCCUCAAGGCAGCAUUCAGUAAAAAACAGGGCAGCAGAACCCGGAAGUCCCAACUCUCUCCAAGGGACUUAAAGGAACCCCUGCGGAAGGCACGUGACCCUCUCCUGUCCCCCUGACCCCACAAUAAUAAACCUGGCCAGUGGAGGACAGAAUCGGCACAGCUUGUUCAGGUCCCAGGGCUCAAGCCUCUCCCCUGACUUCCCCUGCGUGCUUAAAGCUGAGUAGGUGCCGUCAGCACAUGAUUCAUAGCAAGGUCAUUCCCAGACAGUUACUGCAGGAGCCAUUCCUGGAAUUAGCCCCCAUAUCCUGGAGGUUGAGAUUGACAGGCAAUCCCUCUUGUGGGGUGUGUGUUCUUGAGAGCCUCCUCUUCUGAGUAAAUUCAAUCCCUCCAUGCUGCCCCACCACCACCCUGGGCAGAUCCCUUUCUAGAGAGGACAUUCUAAGUUCCUUGUGCCCAGCCCAGACUGGCUUCUGACACAACGUGGCCAGAGAUGAUAGGGGUCACCAGGGGCAACCUUAUUCAGAAAGAGUCCUGCCUGCCUUCCCCACAGCCCUGCUUUCAUUUACUUCUGAUGCUCCUCGGUCAUUGCAUCGGGCAUACAGUGUGUACACACAAACACACACACACACACACUCUUCACUGCAGCUGGCCAGGCCUGAGGAAGGCUCAGUGCCUGACAGUUUUGGUCGGCACCUGACUUCUUUGAGGUUACUGGCUCCGAGCACAGACCAUGAUUCACAUUCAUCCAAUGCCUGCUGAGGGCCAGACAUGGACCUCUCUACAAUCCUCGUAAAGGGUGGCGUUAUUUCUUUGUUGCACAGAUAAGGAUGCUGAGGCACAGAGAGGGGUUAGGAGACCUGUCAGAACUUGGGGUCGCUACUCUGCACCUCCUUGGCUCCCACUGCUACUUUUGGCCUGUGGCAGUUCCCAGAGAGACAGAUCUUUGGAUCCGGGGUAGGGUGGGGUCUGUAGCACCCUGUCCCACCCUGUCUCCCCUGGCUGCUCUGUAUCCCUGAUGGCUCUUCUCUCUGGCCUCCCUCUCUGGCCCCGUUUAGGUUUGGCAUCUGGGUGGGAGCCAGGGGCUAAAAAUACUCCCCAUGUGUUUAGAUGAUUCUUGGAAAAUAAACUUCCCCAUCUUGGCUCUCAGUUUGCACACUUGCUGGUCCUGCUUCCUGUGCUCUGAUCUGACAGUGCCUGGAGUAUAUGGGGGGGGGGUGCGGUGGGAGGGUGGGGAAAGUAGAAGGGUCUAUAGGGGCCCAGCAUCAUGGGUGGUGGUGAAGUGAGCAUGCACAUGCAUACCUGUAUGCAAAAAGGCCACCAUGUCACAAAACUCUAGGGGUGCCUAUAUGGAGACCACAUUGUGAAUAGUAUCCCCAUGUGGUGGGACCACCCUGAGGCUCUGUGCUUAUGUGUGGGAAGAGGCAGGGAAGCUGGUGGCCUUGCAGGCCUGGGAACAGGGCUCCCAUGUUUCUGGGCCUGUUUAUCCAUCUACAAAAUGGGCUAAGCUUGACCCUUCCAUCUAACUGGACCUAGCUAUCUUCAGGCUCCUGCUGGUGACCUUGGGAGGAAAGCCAGGCCCAUCUCUGUGGGUGGGGCGCUGCUCCUGCACCUCGAAUUACACAUCUAGCGGGCUCUGUUUGUUUAUCUGAGUAGGGACAAAGGCAUUAUCUCCUCUAGGGACUAAGGACAUGCCCCUGGGCCCAGGCAGCCCUGGGGAGGGGCUUCCUUUGGAGGACAGCUACAGGACAGACAAGUCACAAGCCAGUUCCUUCCUCUGAGCCUUAGCACCAGCUGAGAAUGGACACGUGGAAGGCUCUUCACAUUCCAAGUGUUGGCUGCUGCAAGGCCUGGGAGGAGAGGGAGAGGGCCAGGGGACAGGGAAGGGACAAAGGUACAUUUUGAUCUUUCAACAAACACUAUUAUUUCCUCUGUGCCAGGGACUGAGGAUUCAGGUAAAAAAAAAAAAAACCAGUCUGUGCUCUUUCCCCAGGACUUCUGACCCAAGGGCAGACACAUAGGGCACAGCAGUACCAGGUCUACAAAAUACAGGCAUAGACACAUGGGAGCAUGGGCCCCAGAGCCACACAGACUUAGAUUGUAGUCCUCUUCCACAGCUGUGAAAGGCAAGUGAGAAGCCUUUGGUAACUUCAUUCACCUACCUUUCUUUCUUUCUUUCUUUCUUCUUUCUUUCUUUCUUUCUUUCUUUCUUCUUUCUUUCUUUCCUUCUUCUUUCUUUCUUCUCUUUUAGGUUUAUUUAUUUAUUUUGAGAGGGAGUGAGAGAAGGUGAGUGGGGCAGGGGCAAAGAGAGAGGGAGAGAGAGAAUUCCAAGCAGGCUCCUCACUGCCAGCGCAGAGCUUGAUACAGGGCUCAAACUCACGAACAGUGAGAUCAUGAACUGAGUUGAAAUCAAGAGUCAGAUGCUUAACCAACUGAGCCACCCAGGCGACCCAUUAAUUCAUCUUUCUGAGCCUCCAUUUCCUCAUCUGUAAAAUGGGCAUGAUGAUGAUUUACUUCAUAAGGUCAGUGUAAAGAUGAAACAAGAUGCCUAGCCAAGAGUUUGUAUUCAAUAAUUUGUAGUUAUCAUUAUGAUUGUUUUUAUUAGAGCACUGAAGGAUGGGUAGGACCUACAGACAGAGAGAAACUGACCACUUCCAGAGAUGGGGGUAGGGAAGAAUAUGUGGAGGUCAGGAUUCUGAGGAGUGAUGCAUAGAUUUGCCCCUGUGGUAAGGAGUAGGUGUGAGAUGGGCUGGCAGUCCCACUCCUAUGGAAGGGAGAAACUGUAAGACCCCUCCAGGGGUCCACUUCUCCACUCAGACACUCUGAUGUCCCCCCCUAGCACUCCACCCCACCCAUACACAGAGCAGUCCACUGAGGCAGGCCCCCCAGCCUGACCUUUGCCCAGAGUUCACCAAGGUCACUCAGAACAACAGAGAGAGACAAGAGGGCGAGGCCAACUGAGGCCCAGCCUGCUCUGCAGCUCUCAUGUUCCUGCCUUAUUGGGUGGCGGUCCAGGUUAGAGUUCGGCUGAGACUAUCCAGGGCCCCUGCCGCUUUCCUGCUUGGGAUCCCAUUUCAUUUUCCUCUGGUCCUUCCUCAGGAGCAGCAGGAUUACCACAUUUGCCCUCUGAUGGGUCCUUUUCUCCACUGCUGGUUCUGUCCCUGGCCAUCUGCCAGUACACCUAUUAUACUAUCUGGAUUUGCUGCAGGCUUCCCCCAGCUUAUGGUCUGUACCCACCCAGUAUUGCCUGAUAAAUUUGAAUUUCAGAUAAACACUUUUUUUUUUUUUAGUGUAUCUCCAAAAUUGCAUGGGGCAUACUUAUACUAAAACAUUAUGUUGUUUAGCUGCAUAAGCAUCUUGAUUUUGUAUUUACCAGAUGUAGUGACCCUACACUCAUUCCAUCUAUGUCAGGGAAACUGAGGCCAAGAGGAAGGGCAGACAAAAGGAGGGGUCAGAGACCAAGGCAGCCACCACUUCCUCCUUGGCCAUCUCCUCUCCCUCCCACUGGCCACACCCUCCAGGAACUGAUAGCACACUGGUUGAGGGGUUUUCCCCUUCCCUGCCUGGUAUUGGGCUCCCUGUUGGAAGGGCAGCUGGGUACACUUUGCAGCAAUGGACUUCCUCCCCACAGUUUUCCAAAGUCUUGGGAGAGGCCAGUGCCAAGGCCUCAUUCCUUCUCCUUUGGCCUCUGCUUGACUCCCGCCUCCCUGAGCUGGAGGGCCAGGGUCCCUUCCUGCAGCCCCGCCACCAUCACACCAGCCACCUCUUGAGGAAGGGAGCCCUCAGGCAGCGUCUGGCCUCCGUGUCCAGGUGGGGUCAGAAGGGGCUGGGUGCCAGGGUUUUAUUUACAAACUGAGGAGAGACUCAAGAGGUGCAGAACACUGUGGGCGUCGGAGUGCUUAUUGGCGUCACAGCCUGGAGUACAGGAAGAGGACCCAGACGCCAGUCAGCAGCUGAGUUCCCUCUGUCCAUCAGACACCCUUCCUCCCAUUCCUUUCGCCUUGUAAUCACCCUGAUAUGUUUUCCUACCUUCAGCUAUUAUUAUCUGCAUGCCAGGCCCUUUGUAAGGUACUUUACAUCCACUAUCCCAUUGAAUCCUGACAGUAAUCUUUAGAGCAAGAGCUCCCACUCCCACUGGCACAGCCUCUUCAGGACAGCAGGCAUUUCCAUCUGUUUGUGGUGGAUGAUGUGCUGCCCAGCUCAGAGCCAUAGGCAGCCCUAGGCUUGUCCCAGCAGUGAGCACUGUCAGAGUGUGGAUGCCUUCAGUUGUCGGCCUCUCUAGGGAAAGGAAGCCCCUUCACUCCAGGUCACACUCCUUUCUGCAGCAGCCUCCAGCCAAAAACCGAUCAGCAUGGGGGGAUAAAGAGAGCCCAAUUCGAGGUGACUCCAAGGGACCAUUCCAGCUCCAGAGCUCUUGGUGGGGUCAGCCAAGGUUACCACUGGGCCUGUGUGGCAGCUCCAUCCCUCCCUUAUCCUACCCUGCUUCCUUUGCUCUCUUCCACAGGUGUUGGAAGGUCCUAGAGGCACUUCUUAAUAAACAUCUUGUACACUGAACUCUGUCAGCUUCCUGGGGAAGCCAACCUGUGGGGCAGUUUGGGCUCAUCAGUGCCCCAAUGGCAUAGAGCACAUAGUAGACUUUCAAUCAAUACUGGAUUGGAAGAACCCAGGCACAGGCAUUGCUAGUCCUGACUCUACGCAAAUAACAGUAUACUAAUAGCAGCUAAUAUUUAUUCUGGUAAAACUAUUUGAUAUGCUUUAUGUCUCAAUCCUUAAAACAAGCUUCUGAGAUGUGCAUUUCUAUUUUCUCCAUUUUCAGAGGAGGGAACGAAAUGCAAGGGACCCAUGAGUGGCAAGUUGUACAGUGGUGCUGGGACUUGGACCCAUACAAUUUGGUACUCAUGCCCACCCUUGGAUCAUCACCAUGCUCUGCCAUUUUUCUGAAGGAAACUGAGGUUUAGAGAGGUAAAGGGACUUGCCCCUGCCAGCCAAUGGGUGGCUACCAGAUCUACAAACUCUACGGUCUGCGCUGCUUCCCUUGAACUGAGAGCUGCUGGCCUGGAAGUGCUUCCAGGGAAGCUUGCAUUUAGAAGUCACUAGCCAGCCCGAGACAUGUUGUUCCCUAGAUCUGAACGCUAUCCCCUGCCCCUCCCUACCUGUGUUUUUCUCGUGAGGUUAACACGCCAACCAAAACCCAGCUCAAAAGGGACUCCUUUGUGAAGCCCUCCUCAAUGUCUGCUCUCCACCUUCUUCCCCACCAAGAUCCCCUGAAGGAAGAAGAUUUGAAGGGUCGAAGACUCUUAGCCAUCAGAGUAUGGAAGUGCCACGCCUUGGCUGGCCACACAAAGCGGGGCAGGCAGCAGAUGUUUGCAGGAUGAAUGAAUUUAAAAAAAUGAUAGCAAAACACAGAAUUAGCAGGCACCAUUCCAGGGCUGGAACUAAAUAUUUACCUUGCCCACGGGGCAAUCCUGAGAGAUAAGCCAGGUUUUCCAAGCUCUAUUUAUGCUGACUUUCCUUCUGUGACUGACACAAUCAACCUGGUUUUGUUACAGUUUGAACAGCUGUUUCCACAUGUAGGGCCUGGGUGUAGGAGAUACUUGAUCCUGGGCUUUCACUGUUCCUCAACAUCGUGUGUCCUCCUCAUGGUAUUUGCUCCCAAUCCUUGGCCCGAGGUGACACUGCCCCUCCAAUCUGUGAGCCUGGACUGGCCAGUCUCCAUAAGUGAGUGAAUUGGGCCUUUACUCUAAGUUGUGGGUUCAUGCACAGCCACAGGGUUAACAGCUUUAUCAGGAGCUGCUUGGAGUAUGUAGGACAGAUUUGCCUGGGUCUACUGCCUGAGUGGUCACCUGGGAGACACCUCUUAAGGGAAAGGGGUUGGCUGUGAUAUGAUGGGUCCAAGUAAAGGGUCAUAGGGGAGGAAGACUUGGAGUUCAGUGUGGCAUUUAUGAGUCAACCUCUGGGAUUCACACUGGAGUCUGUUAGAAAGAAAACCUCAGACCCAAAAUGGAGUCACUUAUGUUAAGAGCCCAAUGUCAGCAAACCAAGACUUAAUAUCUAACCUAACUGCAGUUUCAGGUCCCCCUAGGAAUGUAACCUUUAUCCAGUCAACCUGAAAUUUCCUGGUCAGCACUAGGAAAUUUACUGAUAGACCCCUUCCAUUGCCCUUAGGAGGGUGACCUUGCCUAAAACAAUGCUUUUUUUUUUUUUUUUUUGCUAAUAAUUUCCUUUUUUCUGUGCCCUGUCUGCCUUUAAAACCCUUUUCUUUCCUGCAGCUCCACGGAGCUCCCUUCUACUUGCUAGAUGAGAUGUUGCCUGAUUCAUGAAUCAAUUAAUAAAGCUAGUUAGAUCUUUAAAGCUUACUUGGUUGAAUUCUUGUUAUUCCACAGGUCAUAAAAGUUAUGGACGUGGCCUAUGAAAAUGGAAAGAGCAAUCUCAUCUAAACACUAACACUGCUUGUGGGGGCCAGGCAGCUCUGAUUUGGGAUCAGGCAGCUGAUUUGGCAGCUCUGAUUAAGGGCCUAGUGAGCAACUCUGCCCCUGGUGUUCACUCUGUGAGGGGACAUUUGGGGACGGAAGUGGUAGUUUUGCAUGAGGGGACCAGAGAUUGGAUGUUCCUGCUCAAGGGACACCACAUGACAAGCUGAAAGGAUUAGUUUAAGACAUACUUGAGGGGCACCUGGGAGGCUCAGUUAGGCAUCUGACGUCGGCUCAGGUCAUGAUCUCACGGUUCUUAGGUUCGAGCCCCACGUCAGGCUCUGUGCUGACAGCUCAGAGCUUGGAGCCUGCUUCAGGUUCUGUGUCUCCUUCUCUUUGCCCCUCCCUUGCUCAUACUCUGUUUCUCUCUCUCUUCCUGUCUCAAAAAUAAAUACUAACAAAUUUGUGUGUGUAUACCUAUAUAGAUAUAGAUGAUAUAGAUGAUAUAGAUAUAGAUAUAUAGAUAUAGAUACAGAUACAGAUAUAGAUAUAGAUCAUAUACUUGAGAUACCCUCUAGAGGCUGCCUUCAACAUGUACAUGGGGAGUGGGACUUUAUGGGGAUAAGAGUAAGGUCCAGGGAAACCUGUGUAAUCACAGGGAGUAACCAUUCACUGAGCCUGAGGCUGCUGUGGCCAGGCCAGCACAGCCGGCAUAUAAGCGGAUUCAUGAGGCGCUGCAGUGUGGAAUCUGGUGAUAGUUCCACUUCAGGGAGGAAGCCUGUGCUCUAGAUGAGGAAAAGGUUUUCCACAACGGACUAUCAAUGCAAACAGGGUAACAGAUGAAAUGUUUCAUCCAAGCCUUUGCCAGGCACAGUGCCCAAGCUGCUACCUCCAGAAAGGUAUUACCUAGGCAGUGUAGCGGUUCCCUGACCUCAAAUUUCUUUCUCUUUAAAAAAAAUUUUUUUAAGUUAAUUUAUUUUUGAAAGAGACAGAGACAGUGUGAGCAAGGGAAGGGCAGAGAGGGAGAGGGAGAGAGAGAAUCUCAAGCAGGCUCCACACAGCACAGAGCCUGAUGCAAGGGCGCAAACCCACAAAACUGUGUGAUCAUGACCUGAACUAAAAUGCUUAAUUGACUGGGCCACCCAGGUGACCCUCAAUGUUCUUUUCAAGUAAGUAAUGGAGUUUAGACUUUACUCCAAAUUUAUAGUGAUUAUUUCCUUAGAGUCCACACUAGGCAUGCUUCUCUCUCUCUCCCUUCCUUCUUUGCUUUCUCUUCCUUCCUGUUCUCUCUCUCUCCACUUCUCUUUUCCUUGCUCUUUUUUGACAUACGUUUCCCUCACUAUCCAAAAGUAGAGCAUUUCUAUGAAACCUCCCAUAAACUGAAGUGUUGUAAAGUGAAGAGUAUCCCCCACUUUCUGAAAGUUCAUGUUGUGCCACUUAGCUUUCAUGAAAGAUCUAUAUUAGUAUGGUAGUGGCUUUUUUCAUAAAAGUGAAAAUCCUCUUUGGAUUUCUUUCAGUUAGUGAAAACAGGUACUAAUGUAGGUUGUCUGUAAAAGUGAAGUGCGAUAACGUGAGCUUUCAGAAAGUGGGGGGAUACCUGUAUCCAUUUUGGAUUGGGGUCUAGCAUUUCCAUCAUCAUGGAAGAGGAUAGAAAAUUAAAGUUGGGCUCAUAAACCCUGGGGGAAAAGACAAUGGCUGCCUCUUUGGGGCUCAGCAUAGCCCCAGUCGAAUGGAAGGCAGCUGAGGAGUUGGCCUGCUGUGUGAUGAGUCUGCCAUGGUGGUUGGAUAGACAUGUGGUAUUUGGUUUAGGCCCAGGCUUACAGGGACAAACACCUGGGUAGAAUGGUUAGGCUCAAUUGUUCUCCCUCCCUUCCCGGGAAAGGCCAGGAAGGAAAAGGCCCCAGUUUAAGGGAGGAGGCAUUGUCCUCAGUGGCUAAGCAUCAUCAGGUAGCCCGGUUUGGCAGGGGGCCAGUAGGGAGCACAGGAAUCUCAUGGCUGCUAUAGCUGGUGGCUGGCUUCCCAAGAAUAGCUCAUUCAAUUCUCAUCUUCCCUAUCCUGCCUCUGGUACCAUCACAUCCCUGUUAAAUGCCUGAUAAGAUAUUUUCAGACAGUUCAAAGUUCAGUUUGGAGCUACAGGCCUUGAGUUGACCCAGAGUCUUUUCUUUCUCCCUCCCCAGUCCCAUCUCCCCUCCUACACCCUCCUUCCUCCUUCUGUCCAGCUCCCAAGGCCCCUGGGCCACCAGAAGUGGAGAUAACAAACCUAGGAUGUUAAGAGUCAGUUAAGAGUCACUUCAUGGCUGUUUGCUCCCAAGAGUUUUUAUCUUCCAGGAACAGGAGGAGGCUGUUCUCAGGACAUCCACUUCCUCUCCUUAUGUAACAAUAAUACUUCAUAUUUGCAUAAGUGUUAUCUGUUGUAAAAUGGUUUCACAUUAUCUUUUUUUUUUUAAAGUUUAUUCACUUAUUUAAGUAAUCUCUACACCUAACAUGGGGCUCGAACCCACGACCCUGAGAUUGAGUUAUGUGCUCUUCUUUCUGAUUGAGCCAGCCAGGCACCCCAUCACAUUCUCUUUUUCAUUCAGUGCUUACCACAACACUAUAGAGUAGUCAGGGUCAUGGCAACCCUAAUCCUUCAUCAAAGAAGCCCACUGGUGGAGUUUGGAGAACUGGGCUGGUGAGCCUCGGAGAUGUGAGGGGAGUGGGGGUAUCUGGAGAGGGCAUGAAAGCACCACACCUUUUCCCACAUACCUUGUACUAUGUAUCUAAGCUGUUCCUGAGCUGUAUAUUUUUGUAAUAAGUAAUCCAGUUGGAGAGAAAAAAAGGCAGCCACACGGGUUCAGAGUGCUUGACCAUCUUGCCAGAGCUUAAGUGGUGGAUGACAGACUCCAGCCUAAGCACAAGUGAGGUAUGGAAUAGAAGCAGCCAGAGUAACCUGAGUUUGAAAGCAGCUCGGAAAUGUUCCAUGUGUGGGACACUUUGGACAAGAGACUUAAUUUAUUGAGUCUCGGUUUCCUCGUCCAGAGAAAGGGAUGAUAAAGCAUCCCUCACAGAGCUGUGGUGAGCAUUUAAUAAUGAAUGAGGCAUGCAUAGCAUGGGAUUUGGUAAGUAGGAGAUGUCCACUCAAUGUCUAAGCACCCCUUCCAACUGUUCUGGUUCCAAGUGCCAGACUAUCCUUUAUGCCAUGUAGUAGAUACUCAAUAAACAUUUGAUGUAUGAAUGAUAAACUCUCCCUUCCCCAACUCUCCGAAGUCAGAGGAUGUUUAUUUACAGCUGCAAGCAACAAGGAGUGGCAACAGUGUUUCUUCAGCUGACACAAUGGAAAGUCACAGGCCCUGGGGCUGGCUCCUUGUGGAUACCCAGCCACGGGCACCAGGUGCUACCUGUGGUUUCUGCAGGGAGGGAGGCAAGCCUUCACUCUAAUUCCUGGCUGUCUUUUCCUGCCCAGAUGUCCUGAGUAACAAAAUGGCUUUGGAGAGAUCCACCCUGAGGCCACAGUGAUUUCCAGACCAAAUGGAAAUCUUGUUGCUUGGGACAAUUCUCUGGGAGCUCCUCCAGCACUGCAUGACAAUUUUCUGUAUGUUGAGAGGCCAAAGGUGCUUUAAUGGGCAUCUGACCCCACACAUUAGAGCCCUCACAAGUUGCUCAAACAGCACCCUACCUCCCCCCUCACUUUAACCUGAGCAACUCCAACCUCACCUGCUCUAGCCACCGGUCCUUCAGAUAAAAUGCAGUUGUAAGGGUCCAGUCCCAACGUUCCAAAUUAAAAGUUGAAGACCACUGACUUAACACAACCCUUUCAUUAUUCACAAAGGUGAAUAGGAACUGAGGUGCAAAGGAACAGGUGACCUGUUCAAGGGCAUACAAUUCUUUUUUUUUUUUUUUUUAAGCAGGCUCCAUGCCCAGUGUGGAGCCCAAUGCCAGGCUUAAACUCACAUCCUGGGAUUAUAACCUGAGCUGAAAUCAAGAAUCGGAUGCUUAACUAAGCCACCCAGGCACCCCCAUACAAUCCUUCAAGGAGCAAACACUCAGACUAGAUUUCUAGUUCAUUGCUUUCUGUGGUGGCAGCUAAGAUGACUGCCCUGAACUUGAGGCUAUAGCAGGGUUUGGUCACCAUAGGUAUCUCCUGAUGCAUUCUGGGAGGCUCUCUGCUGAUCACCAACCUGAAGUCCCCUUCCUUCUACU
Long non-coding RNA from Acinonyx jubatus (cheetah), 11531 nucleotides. RefSeq lists it as uncharacterized. The record is from RefSeq and is a predicted model, not a curated record. The transcript has 2 exons. Lineage: Eukaryota; Metazoa; Chordata; Mammalia; Carnivora; Felidae.